UGGGGGAAUAUUGGGCAAUGGGCGCAAGCCUGACCCAGCAACGCCGCGUGAGGGAAGAAGGUUUUCGGAUUGUAAACCUCUGUCGCAGAAGACGAAGGAAGUGACGGUAAUCUGUGAGGAGGCCCCGGCUAACUACGUGCCAGCAGCCGCGGUAAUACGUAGGGGGCGAGCGUUGUCCGGAAUUACUGGGCGUAAAGGGAGCGUAGGCGGUUAAUUAAGUUAGAUGUGAAAUACCCGGGCUUAACUUGGGGGGUGCAUCUAAUACUGGUAAACUAGAGUACAGGAGAGGAAAGCGGAAUUCCUAGUGUAGCGGUGAAAUGCAUAGAUAUUAGGAGGAACACCAGUGGCGAAGGCGGCCAACUGGGCUUUUACUGACGCUGAGGCACGAAAGCGUGGGGAGCAAACAGGAUUAGAUACCCUGGUAGU
RNAcentral lists this ribosomal RNA (426 nucleotides) under uncultured bacterium. RNAcentral describes it as "bacterial SSU rRNA". It matches the Rfam family "Bacterial small subunit ribosomal RNA", at positions 354 to 794 of the family's 1533-position model. The record is from RNAcentral.